RNAcentral lists this ribosomal RNA (490 nucleotides) under uncultured bacterium. RNAcentral describes it as "partial 16S ribosomal RNA". It matches the Rfam family "Bacterial small subunit ribosomal RNA", at positions 30 to 507 of the family's 1533-position model. The record is from RNAcentral.
AUUGAACGCUGGCGGCAUGCUUUACACAUGCAAGUCGGACGGCAGCACAGAGAAGCUUGCUUCUUGGGUGGCGAGUGGCGAACGGGUGAGUAAUAUAUCGGAACGUACCGAGUAAUGGGGGAUAACUAAUCGAAAGAUUAGCUAAUACCGCAUAUUCUCUGAGGAGGAAAGCAGGGGACCUUCGGGCCUUGCGUUAUUCGAGCGGCCGAUAUCUGAUUAGCUAGUUGGUGGGGUAAAGGCCUACCAAGGCGACGAUCGGUAGCGGGUCUGAGAGGAUGAUCCGCCACACUGGGACUGAGACACGGCCCAGACUCCUACGGGAGGCAGCAGUGGGGAAUUUUGGACAAUGGGCGCAAGCCUGAUCCAGCCAUGCCGCGUGUCUGAAGAAGGCCUUCGGGUUGUAAAGGACUUUUGUCAGGGAAGAAAAGGCUGUUGCUAAUAUCGACAGCUGAUGACGGUACCUGAAGAAUAAGCACCGGCUAACUACGUG